This 490-nucleotide ribosomal RNA is filed under the name uncultured bacterium. RNAcentral describes it as "partial 16S ribosomal RNA". It matches the Rfam family "Bacterial small subunit ribosomal RNA", at positions 30 to 507 of the family's 1533-position model. The record is from RNAcentral.
AUUGAACGCUGGCGGCAGGCCUAACACAUGCAAGUCGAACGGUAACAGGAAGCAGCUUGCUGCUUCGCUGACGAGUGGCGGACGGGUGAGUAAUGUCUGGGCAGCUGCCUGAUGGAGGAGGAUAACUACUGGAAACGGUAGCUACUACCGCAUAACGUCGCAAGACCAAAGAGGGGGACCUUAGGGCCUCUUGCCAUCGGAUGUGCCCGGAUGGGAUUCGCUAGUAGGUGGGGUAACGGCUCCCCUAGGCGACGAUCCCUAGCUGGUCUGAGAGGAUGACCAGCCACACUGGAACUGAGACACGGUCCAGACUCCUACGGGAGGCAGCAGUGGGGAAUAGUGCACAAUGGGCGCAAGCCUGAUGCAGCCAUGCCGCGUGUAUGAAGAAGGCCUUCCGGGUGUAAAGUACUUUCAGCGGGGAGGAAGGGAGUAAAGUUAAUACCUUUGCUCAUUGACGUUACCCGCAGAAGAAGCGCCGGCUAACUCCGUG